AAAGGGAAACGACUUGGGGCUCAUGUAGGCAUAGGAGAAUGAAACUUCUGUACAUUUUAAUCUGAAUAAUUCUUCAGGAUUUAAAAUUAUUUGUCUGUGGCUUGGUUGGACUGCACUCGGAUCUCCGGCUCUACGUUUCUCGAGUCACCGGUGAAGGGAUGAUUUUUUUUUUUUGAACUGGGUUUAUGUGCGUCCCCCUCACCCCUCCUCUCUUUUUCUUUCUGCCUCUGUCGUCUCUCUCGCUGGCUUUUUAAAAAUGAAGAACCGUUCCAUGAUCAUUUUGCACACAGCACAGAAUUGCUUCUUAAGUCAGCCCGGCGCGGUUGCAAUAGACAGCAAAAAGGUAAAGCGUUUGCCUGAAUUCAGCACGCCAGCACCACCACCCCGCCCGAUGGCAGAAUUAAGAGGACUCGAGGUCUGUAGAGGCAUGGGAGAUUGAUACCACUGAGAUGGAACACCUUUUCUCUUCGUCCCCAAACCGUGAAUCACUGCUACUUUGACAACAUGAUAUGAGGACUGGAACCCGGGACUUUGCACACCUCAGGGGAUCUUUCUGCCAUCGAGAAAAACCUCCAGUCCACAGAGGAAUUUUCAGCAAAGAGAACAUGAAUGAAAAUUAUCAGCUAAUAUCUCAAGGACACAUCAUGAGCCCAGGCCCUGUGCUAAGCUGUGCAUUAAGGUUCUAUAACAGAAUGAAGAAGGUGCAGACACUUACCCGUGGACUGAGGCUUGGAGGACAUUGUUCAGGUUCCUGCUGAAGCCAGAGUUCUGGAGGUAGACGGCUGGUCAAGGAAAAGAAGGCCAUAGGAAAACUCACUUUAAAAAAAAAAAAAAAUUCUCGGAAGAAAACUGUUCAAAGUGCCAUCUACCACGUGGGCGGCUCUGCUCUGUCCUCUCCAUAAACACCACUAGGGAAGCGGCGACACUGGGAGUUCCUGAGCCCUAGAGAAGAUCUGCCAAAGAAACUUGCUUCUAAGGAAGCCAGUGAUCUCAUGAAAAUGAUCAGCAGUAUAAAUCAAGUCAACAGAUUCAGAAGCUCUACAGUCUCCAGCGUCCAGAGCAGGACUGGCGCUGUUGGCUCCAUCUUCACUUUGUUGGCUAACAAUGGACUUACCAGGCUUUCCAGGGGAAGACUGCUCUUCUGAUUGGCUAGGAGGCCGCCCUUCCCUUCUCUGACGUCAUUCUGCCAGACUGCAUAAGGUUUUCCGUAGGAGAGUGACAGAACACACAGCCCCCGGUGCUGCCGAUCAGAGGUUGCACCUGGCAGCGGAACCGAGGACGGACAGACAAACGGUGGUCAGGGCUGAUGCAGCUGCUAUCUGUCGACCUCCUGGACUGCGCAAGGAAGGGAGUGGGGAUUCCUGCUGCAGAUGGGUGGAGGACCGAAGGUGGCCAAAAAUAACAGGGCCUUCCAGAUGAGGUGACC
Myodes glareolus (Bank vole) is the source of this 1426-nucleotide non-coding RNA. The record is from RefSeq and is a predicted model, not a curated record. NCBI's taxonomy places the organism in Eukaryota, Metazoa, Chordata, Mammalia, Rodentia, Cricetidae.